Molecule: ribosomal RNA, 448 nt
Filed under: uncultured Mesorhizobium sp.
Lineage: Bacteria; Pseudomonadati; Pseudomonadota; Alphaproteobacteria; Hyphomicrobiales; Phyllobacteriaceae
Description: bacterial SSU rRNA
Rfam family: Bacterial small subunit ribosomal RNA
Source: RNAcentral
GCAUGUGGUUUAAUUCGAAGCAACGCGCAGAACCUUACCAGCCCUUGACAUCCCGGUCGCGGUUUCCAGAGAUGGAUUCCUUCAGUUCGGCUGGACCGGUGACAGGUGCUGCAUGGCUGUCGUCAGCCCGUGUCGUGAGAUGUUGGGUUAAGUCCCGCAACGAGCGCAACCCUCGCCCUUAGUUGCCAUCAUUCAGUUGGGCACUCUAAGGGGACUGCCGGUGAUAAGCCGAGAGGAAGGUGGGGAUGACGUCAAGUCCUCAUGGCCCUUACGGGCUGGGCUACACACGUGCUACAAUGGUGGUGACAGUGGGCAGCGAGACCGCGAGGUCGAGCUAAUCUCCAAAAGCCAUCUCAGUUCGGAUUGCACUCUGCAACUCGAGUGCAUGAAGUUGGAAUCGCUAGUAAUCGCGGAUCAGCAUGCCGCGGUGAAUACGUUCCCGGGCCUU